GACGAAGGUGGCGAGCGUUGUUCGGAAUUACUGGGCGUAAAGCGCGCGUAGGCGGUUUUGCAAGCCAGAGGUGAAAUGCCUGAGCUCAACUUAGGAAUUGCCUUUGGGACUGCGAGGCUUUGAGGACUGGAGAGGUGAGUGGAAUUCCCAGUGUAGAGGUGAAAUUCGUAGAUAUUGGGAAGAACACCGGUGGCGAAGGCGGCUCACUGGCCAGUUUCUGACGCUGCAGCGCGAAAGCGUGGGGAUCAAACAGG
RNAcentral lists this ribosomal RNA (254 nucleotides) under uncultured bacterium. RNAcentral's name for it is "partial 16S ribosomal RNA". It matches the Rfam family "Bacterial small subunit ribosomal RNA", at positions 524 to 776 of the family's 1533-position model. The record is from RNAcentral.